Molecule: non-coding RNA, 469 nt
Filed under: Pongo abelii (Sumatran orangutan)
Lineage: Eukaryota; Metazoa; Chordata; Mammalia; Primates; Hominidae
Source: RNAcentral
UCCACACACAGGAACAGCAUGUUUCCAGCAACAGAAGGAAGCACGAGGUUACACAGGCUUCAGAGUCAGGCUGCCAGGGAUCAAAUCCCAGCACCUCCUUUUUCCUGUGAUGGGGCUUGUUCAGCUUCUUUGAUAUCUCUAAACUAGGGAUAACAACAGCACCCGCUUGAGACUAUUGGGUGGAUUGAAUGAACUCAUCUAUGUAAAAUGCCCAGUACAUAAUAAGCAUUCAUCAGCUGUUAUAAUUAAGAUGAGGAAGCAGACAGCAAAAAAGGCAAGCAGGCAAAGUCCCUAUCGCCCAAUCUACCCAGAAACCAACAGACCCCGGGGCACUUAGAGCUGGGAAGGGCUAGAAAGCUUACCACGUUUUUUUCUUUGAAGUUGAACACUUAUUUGAACGAUGUCUCUAACAUCGAUUUAAGGGUAUCUUUGAUCUUUGUGGAAACAAAGAAGAAUGCUUUAAGACUGC